Molecule: long non-coding RNA, 1378 nt
Filed under: Homo sapiens (human)
Lineage: Eukaryota; Metazoa; Chordata; Mammalia; Primates; Hominidae
Description: HSALNT0310593
Source: RNAcentral
GGGUGAGUGACAUGUUACUGGAGUUCAAGUGCACUGAAUAACCUUCCAGCCAUUCAUUAUGACACCUACUGGGAAUCUAUUAUGUGCCAAGUAGUCCUGUAGUCACUAGAGAUCUCACAAGCAGCAAGAUAAAGUCCCUGCCUACAUGAAGCUUACCUUGCAGUGGAGGAGGAAGACAAUAACAUCAUGUCAGAGGUGAUACAUGCUAGAAAAAUACUAAGUGGGCCAAGGGGAGAGUGUGAAGGUGGACACAGUGGUGGUGGCUAUUUUUGAAAGAGGCAUCAGGGUAGGGCUCCCCACUUCGAGUGAACUAAGCAAGCAAGGAACAUGGAUCUGCAGGGUUUGAGAGUUCCAGGAGGAAGGGACAGCCAGCCUGACAUGCAGAGUGAACGAAGGACAGCCAAGGACCAGGGUUAAAGACAAAGUGUUACUGUUCUCCUUUAAACAAGCUAGACUGGACCAGAUUGUCCACCCUGGACUAGCUGGCAUAACAGAUCCUCUUGGCUCUCUGAGGGCGCCUUCUCUCCAUCAGAGGUCGCACAGCACCACCUUGAUUCCAGGAUUCUUGGCACCACCUUGAUUCCAGGAUUAGCAAUCGCCAACUGCGUAAGCCCAACUGCACAUGCAAUCAUAUGACAUGUGAUCCCAUGGCAAAUGUAAUCACCGCUCAACCAAUCCCAGGUCCUACGUGAGAGGCUGAAGUGUGGCAGGGAGGCUUUCAGCCAUCACUGUUGCCCAGGUAAAGGAAAUUUCCCCCAUUGUGCUUUGAGGAGAGCUGCUACACACCAGUUCUCUCCUAGUAGAAGAAUGAACCAGAAAUGAACAUAAGCAUGUUGGAAUUCAUGUAUGUGGCAGACUGUAUUUUCCAAAGAUGGCCACAACAAUAUUUCUCAUUCCACAUGGUCUGCUGGAACCUUGUCACUCCUCCAUCAAGAGCUGGAACCCAUGUCCCCUGUACUUCAACCACUAUGGGUCCUUAUGACGGCCUCAACCAAUGAGUAGGUGAAAAGGACCCUUAUGUGACCUCCAAGGUAUAAUCAUCAGAAUUCCAUGAACUUCUACCUUCUUCUCUUGGGAUGCUUGCUCUUAGAACCUAGCUGCCAUGUUUUGAGGAAGCCUUAAGCAGUCUGUCGAGAGGCCUACAGCCAACACCAACUUGCCAGCCAUAUGAGUGUGCCAUCUUGAAAGUAGAUCCCCCAGCUACCACCAAACAGCCCAGUUGAUACCAUGUGAAAUGGAGAUUAGCUGCCUCUGCCAAGUACUGCCCAAGUUGCAGAUUUGUGAGCAAAAUAAAUGACUGCUAUUGUUUAAAGCCAAUAUGUUUUGGGGUGGUUUGUUACACAGCAAUAGACAUCUUUUAAAAUACAGUGAUCGUCAC